Long non-coding RNA from Bos taurus (domestic cattle), 1610 nucleotides. NCBI's taxonomy places the organism in Eukaryota, Metazoa, Chordata, Mammalia, Artiodactyla, Bovidae. The record is from Ensembl.
GAUAUGUAGAUCCCCAUGCAAAUUGCUUUUCAUUGAGCUCCCAGUAAAAUUCCCUCUAUGCUUUUUGACUGUUGUCAUGUUACAUUCCGGGUUCAAAGAACUAUGGCAAGCUGAGACAUGUUUAUUUAAAUGGAUUUUGUGGAAAUGUAACAUUAGCUUUCUAACACCUGUUUGCAUUUCCAUACAGACUCAAUAGAAAGGAAGCUUUAUUCUCAUGCUGAACAUGCAGAAUAAUAUCUCAAAUCCUCUGCUUCUGAUUGAGGUAGGAAAGGCAAGUUGUGUCUUUUUUAUUUAUUAAUUCAGUUAAUUAUUCAUCCAUCCACCCUAUACUGGAUACUUGCAUUGUCCCAUGCCCUGUGGGUAGUCACUGGUUACAUAAUGUAACUAAUCAUUAAGGGGGCAAAAGCACAUGCUAGUUAGUCUUUACUUCUUCCAAAACUACCAACCAUUGUGUUCAUGCAGGACUCCAGCUAUGUUUUUCCAAAUGAUUUCUCUUGUAUUGAUCAAUUAUAGAGAAGCUGUUGUAUUCUCAUUAUUGAGAGCACUGGAGUAGACUGUUUAAAUCAAAGUGGAAUAAUGUAAAUCAAUACUUGUGCCACCUUGGUAAAGUGGUUAAGUUUUCUUACCUAUAAAAUGGGGACAAUAAUAAUGAUCUGAAAGGAUUUUUAAGAAGAGCAUGCCUGGCAGAUAGCGAACAAUGAAGAAACAUGAGUUGGCUUUUACUUUUUUCUUGCAGAAACGACAUACUUUUUGUAAAGUGUAUUUGUCAUAUUUUGUGUAUUCCUUGGAGAUGAUCAGAACGAUACAGUUAAUCCACUGUACUUGUCAACCUGCACCUCACUUUGAGUGCCUCUAGUUCUCCUUAGUGGCUCAGAUGGUAAAAAUCUGCCUGCAGUGCGGGAGACCUGGGUUCGAUUCCUGGGUUGGAAAAUGGCUAUCUACUCCAGUAUUCUCAUCUGGAGAAUUCCAAGGGCAGAGGAGCCUGGCAGGCUAAGGCCCAUGGGGUCACAAAGAGGUGGACUUGACUGGUGACUAACCACAUGCACACAGGCAGAUUCUAGGGAGAACCUUGGACUGGAGGUGAAAAGAGGUGACCCAGGGUAGUUGCAAGAAGUCCUAGGAGGGAAUUAGCAAGCCAGCUGGAAUCAUAGGACAUAAGGUAUUUGAAUAUGUAAAAAUACACUAUGAGACCCUCUAGCAUAAACCCCUCUUUCUUCAGAUGAUGAAACAUUACUGGAGAGAAUGAGACUUACACAUGGUUACCCAGACAAUGAUGGCAGAGACAGGACUCCUAGUUCAUUUCACAAACUGAAGGUUCAGAGUUGCGCAAUGAUGUGGUAGAGACACGGGACUAGCGAAAAGGAUUAGAAGCUGACCUUUUUCCUAUUCUCAGUGCUGGUCUGCUUGUUUUGUUUUUCUCAACUCUCUCCUCUUUCAUCUGUAUCUCACGUGGAGACCCCCAUCCGGGCUCUCAUUUUGGCUUCGAUCCAUGUGCAGCUGUCUAGUUGAGGUGACCCUCAUAUACUUUUCUGACUGAGAAAUCCUGCUUGGAUCAGUCAAGUCACUUUAGCUAAAAUCUGGAGAAUCCCAGGGACAGAGGAGCCUAAUGG